RNAcentral lists this ribosomal RNA (1359 nucleotides) under Microbacterium paraoxydans. RNAcentral's name for it is "16S ribosomal RNA". It matches the Rfam family "Bacterial small subunit ribosomal RNA", at positions 71 to 1441 of the family's 1533-position model. The record is from RNAcentral. Lineage: Bacteria; Bacillati; Actinomycetota; Actinomycetes; Micrococcales; Microbacteriaceae.
ACACGGAGCUUGCUCUGUGGGAUCAGUGGCGAACGGGUGAGUAACACGUGAGCAACCUGCCCCUGACUCUGGGAUAAGCGCUGGAAACGGCGUCUAAUACUGGAUAUGUGACGUGACCGCAUGGUCUGCGUUUGGAAGAUUUUUCGGUUGGGGAUGGGCUCGCGGCCUAUCAGCUUGUUGGUGAGGUAAUGGCUCACCAAGGCGUCGACGGGUAGCCGGCCUGAGAGGGUGACCGGCCACACUGGGACUGAGACACGGCCCAGACUCCUACGGGAGGCAGCAGUGGGGAAUAUUGCACAAUGGGCGAAAGCCUGAUGCAGCAACGCCGCGUGAGGGAUGACGGCCUUCGGGUUGUAAACCUCUUUUAGCAGGGAAGAAGCGAAAGUGACGGUACCUGCAGAAAAAGCGCCGGCUAACUACGUGCCAGCAGCCGCGGUAAUACGUAGGGCGCAAGCGUUAUCCGGAAUUAUUGGGCGUAAAGAGCUCGUAGGCGGUUUGUCGCGUCUGCUGUGAAAUCCCGAGGCUCAACCUCGGGCCUGCAGUGGGUACGGGCAGACUAGAGUGCGGUAGGGGAGAUUGGAAUUCCUGGUGUAGCGGUGGAAUGCGCAGAUAUCAGGAGGAACACCGAUGGCGAAGGCAGAUCUCUGGGCCGUAACUGACGCUGAGGAGCGAAAGGGUGGGGAGCAAACAGGCUUAGAUACCCUGGUAGUCCACCCCGUAAACGUUGGGAACUAGUUGUGGGGUCCAUUCCACGGAUUCCGUGACGCAGCUAACGCAUUAAGUUCCCCGCCUGGGGAGUACGGCCGCAAGGCUAAAACUCAAAGGAAUUGACGGGGACCCGCACAAGCGGCGGAGCAUGCGGAUUAAUUCGAUGCAACGCGAAGAACCUUACCAAGGCUUGACAUAUACGAGAACGGGCCAGAAAUGGUCAACUCUUUGGACACUCGUAAACAGGUGGUGCAUGGUUGUCGUCAGCUCGUGUCGUGAGAUGUUGGGUUAAGUCCCGCAACGAGCGCAACCCUCGUUCUAUGUUGCCAGCACGUAAUGGUGGGAACUCAUGGGAUACUGCCGGGGUCAACUCGGAGGAAGGUGGGGAUGACGUCAAAUCAUCAUGCCCCUUAUGUCUUGGGCUUCACGCAUGCUACAAUGGCCGGUACAAAGGGCUGCAAUACCGUGAGGUGGAGCGAAUCCCAAAAAGCCGGUCCCAGUUCGGAUUGAGGUCUGCAACUCGACCUCAUGAAGUCGGAGUCGCUAGUAAUCGCAGAUCAGCAACGCUGCGGUGAAUACGUUCCCGGGUCUUGUACACACCGCCCGUCAAGUCAUGAAAGUCGGUAACACCUGAAGCCGGUGGCCUAACCC